GAUUCUCCUCCGUUUCCUUCAAUCUUUCUAAACCCACUGUGUCCUGUGUAUGUGAAGGGAGAGAAUGUCAGUAUCACAUGCGCCUUUUCUCAAAAGAAUUCUGUUGCAAGUCAGUUUUACAAAAAUAAAAAAGAAGUCUACAUGCAGAAAACUGCUGAUAAUGUUAGAAGUUAUGGCAUUUUGAAUAUGACUCGCGAGGAUUCUGG
Molecule: non-coding RNA, 206 nt
Organism: Pelobates cultripes (western spadefoot toad)
Lineage: Eukaryota; Metazoa; Chordata; Amphibia; Anura; Pelobatidae
Source: the annotation of a GenBank genome assembly